CCAUCUUGUUGUACUAUGACAGCACUGUUGCUAUUGCUCAAACGAAGGAAUCGAAGUCACAUCAGUAGAUCAAGCACAUUCUAUGCUGCUACCAUCGGUCUGAAAGAUCGUGGAUCGAGGUGACGUCGAGCUUCAGAAGAUCGAUGGAAAGAAGAAUCUGAUCGAUCCAUUUACUAAAGCCCUCAAUGUCAAGGAGUUCGAAGUUUAUAAAUCAAAGAUAGAUAUAUAAUACUAUACCGAUUUGCUUUAGUCUAAGUGAGAGUUAUUGAAAAUUAUGUUCGAAAGUCAAUCGUUAGUCUGUUGACGGUUGAACUUAUUAUUAUAAUUAUAUAUAAAUUAUUGAAUUAAUAAAUAUUAUUUAAUUUUUUCAUCACUGUGUACAUCUUAUUUUGAACUCCUGUUAUGUGAUGAAGUUUUUAGGACUAUUUGAUUUGAUAUAAGAGGAUA
This 447-nucleotide long non-coding RNA is filed under the name Elaeis guineensis (African oil palm). Its description in RNAcentral is "long non-coding RNA (EGUI_LNC031809)". The record is from RNAcentral. Lineage: Eukaryota; Viridiplantae; Streptophyta; Magnoliopsida; Arecales; Arecaceae.